Molecule: non-coding RNA, 537 nt
Organism: Grammomys surdaster
Lineage: Eukaryota; Metazoa; Chordata; Mammalia; Rodentia; Muridae
Source: the annotation of a RefSeq genome assembly
GGCAAGGGGAGCAAGAUGGAAUUACAGACCCAGGUUCUCAUGUUCCUGUUGCUCUGGGUAACUGGUACCUGUGGGGACGUUGUGAUGACUCAGUCUCCAUCCUCCCUGGCUGUGUCAGUAGGAGAGAAGGUCUCUAUGAGCUGCAAGUCUAGCCAGAAUCUUUUUUACAGUGGAAACCAAAAGGACCUCUUGGCCUGGUACCAGCAGAAACCAGGGCAAUCUCCUAAGCUGCUGAUAUACUUUGCAUCCACUAGGGAAUCUGGGGUUCCUGAUCGUUUCACAGGCAGUGGAUCUGGGACAGAUUUCAUGCUGACCAUCAGCAGUGUGCAGGCUGAAGACGUGGCAGUUUAUUACUGUCAACACUGUCAUGGCAGCUUUAUCCCCCCACAGUGCUUCAGCCUCUUACACAAACUUCCUUUAGAGUUUAAACAGCUGUGUACACACACAGCCCUGGGCAUGCACACUUCCUCCUUUUGCCUGAGACAUGGCAUGCUUGAAAAACUGACAAAAAGGUUUACAGAGCCCCCCCCCCAAUAA